UAAAUGUACAAUUAUUGUACACUUUGACGGUAACAGCUCCAUCAUGUGUAUUGACUUUGAUACCAGCACUGGGAACGGCACUUUCUACAUGUGUUGAUGUACAUCCUUGUGCAAGAAUCCCAUGUAAUGAUGAGGAUGAUUUACUUGCUUGGGCAAGAGUUCCUGCAACUUCCACUUUUCGUUGAACCUACGUUUCAAUAUAUCCUUCGGCAACCGCGGAGGACUUCCACCCGCCAUGUCGUUUAAUGGUGACCAAGUCACUACCGCUGUUAGCUAAAUGUGAGACACUUGAACGCCGGAAACAGUGCCCAGUGUAUUGUGCCGGAUUGGCUAAUUGUAGAAACUCUGCAAUCUUUCGUGGCGUCUUGCCCAUUGUAUUGAUUCCGAUCGAAGUAGUAAUGCAGCGACCACUACGGUAUGUUACAAAGAAUCGUUGAUGGCAAGUAUUAACUGGGCGUAUGCUGCUAUAUUUUUUUAUAAUAUCAAUCCACAAUUUCUCGGUGAUGACAAACUCUCUCAUUACAUUUGUUUUUGUUUUAGGCACCGAUACAACAACAAUAUCAUUUUUAUAUUGGAUGUCGCCCAGUGCCAUAUUAGUCAGCUCCUCGCGUCUGCAUGCCCCACUGUAGCCCAUUAUUAAAAUAACCUACAACGAGAAUACAAACAAGAUACUCCUGUAGCUAGUACCUACCCACUAGAACAAAAAAUUCUACUUACUUUUGUAUCUAAAUAAUGCUUGUCGUCAGCCUCCUGAAUAAAUCGAUUAAUUUGCUCUAAA
Long non-coding RNA from Photinus pyralis (common eastern firefly), 778 nucleotides. RefSeq lists it as uncharacterized. The transcript is spliced from 2 exons. The record is from RefSeq and is a predicted model, not a curated record. Lineage: Eukaryota; Metazoa; Arthropoda; Insecta; Coleoptera; Lampyridae.